This 817-nucleotide ribosomal RNA is filed under the name uncultured archaeon. RNAcentral's name for it is "bacterial SSU rRNA". It matches the Rfam family "Archaeal small subunit ribosomal RNA", at positions 1 to 799 of the family's 1478-position model. The record is from RNAcentral.
UUCCGGUUGAUCCUGCCGGACCCCACUGCUAUCGAGGUGGGACUUAGCCAUGCUAGUCGAACGAACAGAACUAUGUCUGUAAGUGGCAUACUGCUCAGUAACACGUAGCUAACCUACCCUUAGGACGUCGAUAACCCCGAGAAAUUGGGGCUAAUAGGCGAUAGAUGUAUUGUCCUGGAAUGGUAAUAUGUCCAAAGGUAUCCCAUACAUGUUUGGUAUACGCCUAAGGAUGGGGCUGCGGCCGAUCAGGCUGUUGGUGAGGUAAUGGCUCACCAAACCUUUGACCGGUAUGGGCCAUGAGAGUGGUAGCCCAGAGAUGGACACUGAGACAAGGGUCCAGGCCCUACGGGGCGCAGCAGGCGCGAAACCUCCUCAAUGCACUAACGUGCGAAGGGGUUACCUCGAGUGCCACCUGAAGAAGGUGGCUUUUCCUUGGUCUAAAAAGCCUAGGGAAUAAGAGGGGGGCAAGACUGGUGUCAGCCGCCGCGGUAACACCAGCCCCUCGAGUGGUGGGGAUGAUUAUUUGGCCUAAAGCGUCCGUAGCCGGCCGGGUAAGUUUCCCGUUAAAUCCAGCGUCUCAAGCGUUGGACUGCGGGAAAUACUGCCUGGCUAGAGAGUGGGAGAGGUCAGCGGUAUUCUGGGGGUAGGGGCGAAAUCCUUUGAUCCCCGGAGGACCACCAGUGGCGAAGGCUGCUGACUAGAACACGUCUGACGGUCAGGGACGAAAGCUGGGGUAGCGAACCGGAUUAGAUACCCGGGUAGUCCCAGCCGUAAACGAUGCAUGCUAGGUGUUGGGUUGGCCACGAGCCACCCCAGU